AGAACUUCUGAGCAACGUGGCAGCUGCCGGGACCGGGCCUCUGAGUGCAGAGAGCAGGCGUUGCCAGGAGCGGACUCAGACAGUGGAGGCCCCUCGCUGACCCUCUCCGGGGCCACUGCAAAGGAAGAAGAAAAGCACAGGCAUCAGCUUCAACAAUGCAAAACAAAGUAAGCUUGAAUUCAGAUGAGGGGCAGUUAAAAUCGCAGCCUAGAAGUCCAAGUGUGGUUUGUAACACUCCAAACCCCAUGUCAGCCUUCAGUGAUUGUUCUGCUGACCAUGUUGCUACAGAGCGGCUUGGGUUUUUCCUUGUGGCAACUCCCCAGGGUGACAGAUUAUUCGGCAAUGUCACCAUUUUGUAGAUGUAUUCGGGAUUUCCAGCCAUAAGCCAUGGAUGAUAUUGGGGAUCCUUUAUUCCUGGUGGGUGCCCAUAAGAGUUUGCAAACUAUACCCAAAAGGGCACGGGAACCCCUAAACUUUCCAGGCUGUCUUGGCACACGGCUCACUAGAACUGUUAACGCCGUCAAAGUAUCUCUGACACGUCCUUAGCCUGUGUUUGAAAACCUGCAGAGAUGGGAUACGCCCCUUUACCAGAGACAGUGCAUUCCGUCCACUGGGAGUGACACACGGCCAAGCCAGGCUUCAAAGAGAGAGGUUCACCGUAUUCCAGUAGUGACUACUGGGAUUUAGGGUUGGAUCACCUUACCAGAGCUUGGAAGCUGCUAGAAGUUAACAUUAAUUUUAUUGUUCUUUAAAAUGAAAGUCCAGCAGGAGGGCCAGGAUUUGGGCAUCUCGGUCCUUCACGAAAAGAAAGGGUGAUGUUGAUUAGCCAUGUUCCACAUCCCCCGAGUUAAAUAUAGGAAUAGUUCUGACAUCUGACUCAAGAAUGUGUUUUCUUGCAUGAUAUUAAGGCAGAUGCACAGAUCCACGUAGAUUAAUCCCCUUCACUAGUAGCAGGGGCCCGAUGAGGUAGCUGAUGAGGAAGAGCCCCCGAGACCAGGCCCAGCGUGGGGCCACGGCCUUGGGAUCUGGACGACACCCCAGCGGUUCUGUGCCGCCAGCAGGCCCUGCCGCAUCUCUGGGCUGGAGCCCUGACUGUCAGCAGAUGAGGCCAUGGGUUGGGGUGUCUCUCCCACCAGAACGGCUUCGUGGGGUGCUCACUAUCCCCUGGUCAUGCUUCGGCACAGCUGGCACCGGCUCCCUGAGGGCCCACUGAUUGGUUUUACACAAGUCUGUGAAGCUUCCCACAAUGCACGAUGUCCUUAGCAAAUACAACACAGCCCGCUGGUAUCGCCUCUUCCUUCACUACCUCCACAACCACUUGUGGCAGAGGAGGAGCCUCCAGUUGCACUUGGCCAAGGCGGCUUUUGUAAGAACUUGACGGGACCAAGCCACCCCCACGGCAUCAUUUCCACGGGAGAACACAUCCCAGCGAAACUCCAAGGAAAGGGUAGUUUUGUGAAGAAAAUGCUUGUGUUCUAGGACACAGCCCAGCAAGUCCCUGACUUUAAAAAAUGUGUAAGAAACAGGAAUGUAACAUUGACGAAACAUGCCUGCCAAGAUGGACUUUCCUUGUGGCGAGACCCUUCCUUCUCCUCAAUGCCUGGGUGCUAGCAGGGUAGCAUCCCCAGCCUCAGAGCUCAAGCGUCAUGAUUGGGGAAAUGAGACUGGGCAGCCAUUCGGAAGGCCGGGCAAAGAAGAGUGUAAAGAGACAUUGGUCUCGUGCUGCAGAAUGAGUUACAAAUAGUGAAUCCUCAGCAAUACUGUCUCCCCGUGGACUGGAAUUUGGACCCGCUGCUGUGGCGGGCAGCUUUGACCCAAUGAGGACCACGCCUGGAAGGAUGUCAGAGCAGCAGGGACCUGGGUGGAGUGACCUGGUGGAACGGAGACGCCUGCCGGCUCAGCAGCCACAGCAGCAGCUGCCCGUCAUGGGACAGCAACGUGGCAAGAAUUCCCCACGGGUUCCGGGGGAGCCUGUGUUGCUGGACCCUUUGCCACACCACCGAACCUGGCCCAGAGGAGCAGGAAUUGGCCGAGUUCCAGGCCCUGCACCUGACGGGGGCUUCCUCAGCCUCUCAUGUGAUCCUCGCAGCAGGCUAACGUGCAGGCCCUUCUGUUUUCCAGAUUUGACAGUUGAGAGGGGAAAGCCAUGUUUUCAAAUGUUACAGUAGAAGAGGCAGGAUGCAAAUCCAGCCCUGGCUGGUGCUGAAGCUGGGGCAGGUGCAUCUGCAGGGUGCUGCCUUCAAGGCAGAGGGGUGACUGCUGUGUUUCAUGGCAGGGAAGCCCCCCUUGAUGCUCACACCACCCAGGUCGUACGGCUUUGAGGACAUCCCUUUCUUCAAACCCAGGUCAUCUGAACAGUGUGGCCUGAAUCCCAGGUUGGGAGUGAGUAAUUCAUCAUCCAAACUGAUUAGAGAAUCUGAGUGAGGGACCUUCAAGUCAGGGAUAGAGAACGGGCUUCGUCUUCUGGAGCUGCCAUAACAAAAUGCCGAAGACUGGGCGGCUUCAACCACACAAGGGCCUUUCGACACAGCCCUGGCAACUGGAAGCUGGGGGUCGAGGUGUGGGCAGGGCUGGUUCCUGGGGAAGGAUCUCCUCCCGGCUGCAGAUGGCCGCCCCUGGCUGCAUGCCCGCCUGGCUUUCCUCGGUGCUCACUCACCCCGGUGCCUCUUCUGCUUCUUAGAAGGAUCCCCAGCAGAUGAGGGCCCCAGCCUGGUGACCUCACUUACCCUCCAUCAUGUGCUGAAGGCCUGCGACAAGCACUUCUCAUCUUCCCAUCCUCUGACGGAGCCAGUCCCACCCACCACGUGGACGUGGGUGUUGUCUGUGGACCAAGGUCAGUGUUUUGUUGGUUUUUCUUAUUGUUUGGCACCAGCAUUACAUAGACCAAUAGACCUUGUUGUUCUCCGCCCGGAGGGGCUGGUGCUGUGGCUGGGGCACCGCCCUGGGUAGGCCCCGCCCCAGGCCAUGCAGUUCCCAGGCUCCUUUCUGGGAGGGGUUGGUUCUCACAAAGGGGGAAAAUCAUGAAAUGGCAAACCUGAGUCACGGCAGCACAGAGGACAGCCCCUGAAGGCAUAAGCAGGAAGGGCAUAAUGCUUUCCAAAAGAGAAAACUACAUGGACUUUACUGACUCAUCACUGAGUUCUGAGAUCACUGACACUUACACAUGUGUCCACGCUGUUGUGAGUCAUGGGGAAAAAUGGAGGAGCAAAAUGACCAAGUGGCAGGGUCUGUAAGAGUCUCUCACUGUAGGGAUGGGCUGCCCUGAGGAGACACUGCCCAGGCCUGGGUGCCCCGGGCCAAAGUCCUGACCCUUGCAGGGCUGUGUCCUGUGGAUGACAUGUGGCACUGGACUGCUCACUGACAGGUCACACCCAUCUUCAGUCUCUGCUCACCAUGACAGAGUCACAGCCACACCCGGGACAGAACCUGGGCUCCGGGCAGCAGGUAAUAGGAGGAUAUUCUACCCAGGGCCGGAACAAGCCAGGUCCAGCCUCAACUGCUCUGUGGCUAGUAAGUGCGAGGAUGCUGUGUCACAGGUGUCACACGUCACUAAGAGAACGUCGUGGGCGCACGGGGAAUGUCUUUAUGGCACUGUCUGGAAGCAGGCUGCAUCUCAGCAGCUCCAGAGGUUACAGGGGCUGGUUUUCACCAACACAAGAAGUGUUAGAGACAGGAGACGUGGAGGAACCUGUCGAACCUGGUGGGGAUCGAGUUUAAACACAUCUGCACACACUUGGGUGUGUGUGUCCCAGCGCAUCUCAGCCCUGAGUGCCCACACCUGGCUUCCCUGCCCCCCCACCCCUCCUACCCCACAGUCCACACUGCCCCACACCUACUCGUGUCCAGAAAGCUCUCGCUGAGCCUCCUCCCACAUCAGCCACUCUUGGAGGACUGAGAAAACAGUGGUGGGGGGCCAGUUCCCAAAUCCAGGCGCUCCUGGCACAUCCAAAUCCGGGACGACUGACCAAGGGCUCGCACUCAGCCUGAGGAAGCAAGUGGUCCUUUGACUCGGAGUAAGAACUGCUCAGAGGCCAACGUGCUCUGGCUCGGGUCCCCCUGGCACCUCCAGGCAGGUCUUUCUAAUUUGGUUCCUGAACACGCUCCAGCUCCCAUCCUGAGGCCUGCCCUUGCCCUUCCCUCCCCCAUUGCUCUUCCCACCCUCCUCCCUUGCCAUUCCCUGUCCUCAUUGCUCUUCCCACCUUCCUCCUUCCGCUCCCUCUCAAGGCCCUGCCCUGUCUGGUUCACCAUCCUCCUCUCGUCCUCUCCUGGCUCCUCCCCAGAGCUUGGUGUUCAUUCGGACGCCUUCUCCCUGCAGCCUCCACCAGGGCCCUGGCUGCCCUCGCCCUCCAGCAAGUCACUGUAUUUUACGUUCUUCAUGGAGUUUUUUACUUUUGAGAUUUAUCAACUUUACAUGCAUGUUUGCUGCACCCCCUCACUAGAUUUCAUCUACAUGGGAACAGAGACCCCUCUGCUUUGCUCCCUGCUGUAAACAUCCCGGCUCGGGAAAGUCUCUAUCUACAGACACUGCUGGGUGCUGAGUUUCCAGAGCAGUCAAUGCGAUGUGCGACUCCGUGGUGAGAACUGAAGAUGCAUGAGGAUGAGGGGCGCUCGAUCCCUGUCCUCUGUGAUCUGGUACAACAGAAUCAACCCCUGCAUGGUGGGCCCCAGUGAGCAGCCUGCGGGAUGCACGGAGCCACCCAGAAACACGUGAACUCGGUGGCAGCAGCAGAGACAGAAACAUCUCACAGUACACCAGGAAUGAAAGUGUAAAAUACUUAGCAUUUGACAAGGUUUCCAGUUAUAUGUUCUUCUUUGAGCAUCAAAUGAGGGUCCCAUACCUAUUUCUGUGCUCAUGUUACAGACAGAAUGGAAACACAGAGAGUUACAGAGAUGUGAUCCAGGUGGGGGCUGGGAAGGGGCUUCCUGCAGAGGUUUAUACCCAGGCUCGUGGAGAAAAUGCCCUACGAGGGACCAAGCCAAGGACUCAAGCAAACGCAGGGAAUGAGACAGCGUUUCCAGGCCAGAAUGCGGGAGCCCUUCAGCAGAAUCAGGGGUUAGGAAGCUCGGUGACUUCAGGCAGGAAGGCGAUGGAACGGGAACAGGGUCUUUCUGUUUCACGUAGGCGAUGGAACGGGAAUGGGGGUCUUUACUUUUCACGCAGGUGAUGGAACAGGAACGGGGUCCUUCCAUGUGGGAAAUGCUGAGCCUGCGCUGCCAACCGCCUCCGGGUGAGACAUCUUGUGGACAGCUGGGACAGGCGGCAGAGUAAGAGGCAGUGGUUUAGAAGUCAAAUGCCCUUGGACAAUUGUGGAAGCUUUUGAUUUUAUUAUUUUAUUAUUAACUGAAAAAAAUAGAAAAUAGAAAAUAGAAAAAAAUAGAAUUGGAGAGGAGGAAUAAGUAGAUGUUUAGCAACAGAGCGUGCAAUGCAGCAGCACACUGAGAAAAGUAGCCCAGAAAGGACGGGGAGCUUCAGGAGGCGACAACUCACAAAUAUGACGGCCACUCACAGGCCAGUCCUGCAAACGACAGAUGACUCCAGGAGAGGCCGGGCGUGGUGGCUCACACCUGCAAUCCCAGCACUUUGGGAGGCUGAGGCAGGUGGAUCACCUGAGGUCAGGAGUUCGAGACCAGCCUGGCCAACAUGGCGAAACCCCGUCUCUACUAAAAAUACAAAAAUUAGCCGGGCGUGGUGGCGGGCACCUGUAAUCUCAGCUACUCGGGAGGCAGAGGCAGGAGAAUUGCUUGAACCUGGGAGGCAGAGGUUGCAGUGAGUCGAGAUCAUGCCAUUGCAAUUCAGCCUGGGCAACAGGGCGAGACUCCAUCUCGAAAACAAAACAAAACAAAACAAAUGACUUGAGGAGACGGCUUCAGAAAAUACUGUUGUGUUUGGUGACUGAGUGGUUAUUCAUGUUCUUGGACAAUGCUUUCCAAAUGUUAGUUUGCCUACAGGUCACGCAAACAUCCUGCAUGUGAAGGCAGACUCCGGAGGUCUGGGAAGCACUGGGUUUUGGGUUUUUUUGUAUAAAAGCUUCCAGAUGGCACUGAUGCUGCCUGUCAGGGGACUACACCUUGACAAGCCUGUAGAGACUGUGUUAGAAGGGCAGGGUGAACACCAGAUCCCGUAGCGAGGUAAGGGGUAAGCAGGUGUGAGGAGGCAGGGCAGACACAUGGCCGCCUUCUAGGAGUCUGAGAGUGGAGAUUAGGAUAAUAGAAGCUUAAUGGCAUUUUAAGGUUAAAGAUCUUAUUUUUUGCUUUGUAUUGAUUUUGGACGGAUGAGUCCUGGAAAAAUUAAUUGCCAAGGGUCACUUGGAAGAGAGUGGGUGCCGUGACAUCGGUGGGGUCACCCAAUGUCAGACUGGCGAGCAUUUUGAGUUGCCCGUAACUGUUGUGCCUCAAGCUCCUGGUGUUCCCGGAGGCUGUGCCCUGGAGGCCCGUUGCAGAGAACACGGAGGCACAUUCUCCUGCUGUGAAGUCAGCCCAGGCAAGGCAGGCGUGGCAGCCUGUACCAUUGGUGUGGCCACGGGGCCGAGAGGGCAGGAAACAGAGAGAGGGAGGUUGGUUUCAUGUUGCAAAAUGCCGGAUGAGUGGGCAAACCCCCCGCAAUUCUGUCUGGCCAAAUUAUACUUUUAGGUUCAGGCCUAUACUUUAUAUUUUAAAAGCUCAAAUUAUUUUAUAAUCUCCUGAAAAUACAUCAUCUUGCCAUUUGCUUUCAAUACUGCACUGCGACCUUUUAUAAUCUUUCAAAAACAUGUUCUCCCUUUGGAUAAAUGAGAAAAUAAAUAGUAUUCAGUGAAGACCAACUACUGAAUUAUUUUAAAAUAUCUUGUUUAUAAAAGGUUUUUACCAGUGAGAGGAUUUAAGAGUUGCUUGGCUCUUGAAGCCAGCAGAGACUUCUGUGUGCAUUGCUUCAUUUGUGGGGGAGGACUCUAGCCCCACAUGGCAGAUGAAAAACUGUGCCUCGGAGGAGUUAAGCGAAUUGCUGAGGAUGGUACCACAGAGAGCGACUGAGGCGACAGCCAGCAUCCAGCCUCCAGAGUUCCACUGUGCUUCCCCAAAGACAGGCGGGCUCUCCUCAAGCACAUUUUUACUUUAGGAGCUGCUGAAACUGGGGUGUGGACCACGGGAUCCCCCCUGACCAGCCUCAAGCCCGAGCCUGCGAUUCUCUCAUCCGCACUUCACCAGCUGAGGUGAAGGGUGGGCCUCCAUUUUGGUUGAAUUACAUUCUCUCUCACAGAACCAUCUGGAAACCCCAUCACCUUAAUAAUUCAGUGUUGUUUGAUGCUGUGAAAGGUGAAAAAGACUUCAAUUCUUACUACCAAAUUGUGCUGGGGAGUGACACAGAUAGUCAGUCUCUCAGCAGCACGCACACCCUGUUAGAAGGGGGUAUGGUUUUUACUUUCCGCUUAUUCCCGGCAAAUCCUGUGGCUUCCACUAAGCAAGGAUGUCCUCUGAGCACCCUGACCCUCCCGAUUCCCGUGCACCGCCCCAGCCUCCGCUGUCGCCUGCCCUCCACCUGGCGCCUCCGUUAUUUACUUGUUCCCCAGGUUCAGUCUCGGGCGGCCUCGGCUUUCUCCACGUCUUCUCCCUGCACAGUGGCAACGCUUCCAGAACCCCAGCUGCUCUAACACCAGGCCCAGCUCCUCCAACCCAAGCGUCUCUACCCAACUGUGGGAUCUGUCCGCACCUCCAGAUGGGGAGGCCCACGUCUCCGUGUCACCUGAGGGCGGGUGUGUUUAGAAGCAUGCUUUUGCAUCUCCACCACUGGAGACACAGGGACUUGGGGUGUGUACGUUUUGUGAAAACUCAAACAUGGGCCUCACCUUUUGGUUUUAUGGAUGUGAACCACGUCCCUGCAGUCAUCAGAGUGGAAUGCUGCUAGCGGCUGGCCCUAGGCUGAGUGUUUGACCGGGAAUACCCACACACUUCUCUCAACUAACCCGUGAGGUUGGCAUGUUCAGUACCUGGGGAGAAAGUGGGGUAACAAUGACAGGACUAAAGCCCACAGCCUGGGGCCUGGCACCUGGCAAGUGCCCUCUGGGUGUUGGUGGAGUUCUUACUUGGAUGACUUUAAUCAUUACAGAGGCUCCCUAAGGCCACACAGCUGGUAGGGGCUCUGGCCCCGUCUCAUCUCACUCCAGAGCCCCAGGUGAGUGCAAGGCAGAACCUCUAUGUUUCUGUCUCAGAUUCUUCUCAUUGCUUUGUUUUUCUCAAAACAUUUCAUUUUAUCAAUGAUGAAUACUAAAAUUAGAUUAUUUUCUUUUUGUUGAAACUAUAUGUAUUGAUUUUUUGUCUUUGGAGUUGUCAUAAAACACCUGUGGUCAAAUCCAGGCCCUUCCAGUUACCAGCAAUGUGACCCUCUGCACGCUAAUCACCUCCCUGAUGACUCAGUUUCCCCAUCUGUAAAGGAGAAGCAAUGGAAGUACUGGGCAGUUUAAAUAACAUAAAUGUUGCAGAACACUUGGUACAUGGCCAGACAUGCAGUAGGUAUUCCAUAAAGGAAGCUAUUUGUAUUUUUUGUUUCAAAUUCUAUUCCAUGGUGAACGUUUGUUUACUGUCUCAGAUGUGAUGUGAGAUUCCAUUUUGAAUAGCUUUCAGGAAUGUGACACGAAAUUAUCUUCCUUCUUCCAUCAGCUAAAAACUACUGUAUAAAUGUUUCAAGCUCUGCUCCCCCUACUCUUACCAAUGAUAAACAUGCCCCUAGGUUUCCCCUACAGCCACCCCAGCUCCUCGCUCUACAUCUCCCUCUCCCCACCGCCACCUUCCGCCCCUGCCCUGCGGCUCCCACCGCCCCUGCCCUGCUGCUCCCACCGCCCCUGCUCUGCUCUGCUGCUCCUUCCGCCCCUGCCCUGCGGCUCCUACGGCCCCUGCCCUGCUGCUCCUUCCGCCCCCGCCCCGCUGCUCCUUCCGCCCCCGCCCCGAGGCUCCUUCCGCCCCUAUCGCUCUGCUCCUUCCGCCCCUGCCCGGCGGCUCCUUCCGCCCCUGCCGCUCUGCUCCUUCCACCCCUGCUCUGCUGCUCUGGGCUUUCCCCGAGGCUUUGCUGCCCACACUCUUCUUGCUCGUCAGACCCACCAAGGUUGCAGAGAAAGGCAGACAGCAGCAGAUGGCUAGGAAACGAAUACUCAACAAUAGGGUGAUUUCAGAACUAAAUUCCAAAGAAUUCAGCCUACAGAGCAAAAACUCACUCAAAAAACCAAAAAGAUGGAGAU
Molecule: long non-coding RNA, 9206 nt
Filed under: Homo sapiens (human)
Lineage: Eukaryota; Metazoa; Chordata; Mammalia; Primates; Hominidae
Description: non-protein coding lnc-SMOC2-8:5
Source: RNAcentral